AGGUUAGGGGUGAUAAAAUCCAUUCAGAAUAAGAGAAGUUCACUUUCCUUUCUUUAUGUUUCAUCCAAACCCAGGAUUGUACUUGUGCCAAAGUAAAGAUUUCCUCUGCAUCUACCUUACCUUGAUUAAAAAUAAUCCUGUUUCUAUGCUUCCAUAUACACCACGACUGAAACCCACAUGCUUUUCCAUAAUCUGUUGCCUUCUUGAUUUAAGCACAAGCAUGAGAAUUGUUCGAAAUGACAAAUCAAAUCAUUGUGGUUCACCGAACUAAUCCCCAACCAGCUGAGGCACAAAUUCCAAACUUUAAUUGAUUCCUCGCAUA
RNAcentral lists this long non-coding RNA (322 nucleotides) under Phaseolus vulgaris (common bean). RNAcentral's name for it is "long non-coding RNA (PVUL_LNC002512)". Lineage: Eukaryota; Viridiplantae; Streptophyta; Magnoliopsida; Fabales; Fabaceae. The record is from RNAcentral.